CAGUAGCCGCGGGAAUACGUAGGUGGCAAGCGUUGUCCGGAAUUAUUGGGCGUAAAGGGCUCGCAGGCGGUUUCUUAAGUCUGAUGUGAAAGCCCCCGGCUCAACCGGGGAGGGUCAUUGGAAACUGGGAAACUUGAGUGCAGGAGAGGAGAGUGGAAUUCCACGUGUAGCGGUGAAAUGCGUAGAGAUGUGGAGGAACACCAGUGGCGAAGGCGACUCUCUGGUCUGUAACUGACACUGAGGAGCGAAAGCGUGGGGAGCGAACAGGAUUAGAUACCCCAGUAGUCCCUGUCUCUUAUAC
Molecule: ribosomal RNA, 301 nt
Filed under: uncultured bacterium
Lineage: Bacteria
Description: partial 16S ribosomal RNA
Rfam family: Bacterial small subunit ribosomal RNA
Source: RNAcentral